This 1552-nucleotide ribosomal RNA is filed under the name Staphylococcus aureus. RNAcentral's name for it is "16S ribosomal RNA". It matches the Rfam family "Bacterial small subunit ribosomal RNA". RNAcentral also lists the same sequence under 2 other names. Lineage: Bacteria; Bacillati; Bacillota; Bacilli; Caryophanales; Staphylococcaceae. The record is from RNAcentral.
UUUAUGGAGAGUUUGAUCCUGGCUCAGGAUGAACGCUGGCGGCGUGCCUAAUACAUGCAAGUCGAGCGAACGGACGAGAAGCUUGCUUCUCUGAUGUUAGCGGCGGACGGGUGAGUAACACGUGGAUAACCUACCUAUAAGACUGGGAUAACUUCGGGAAACCGGAGCUAAUACCGGAUAAUAUUUUGAACCGCAUGGUUCAAAAGUGAAAGACGGUCUUGCUGUCACUUAUAGAUGGAUCCGCGCUGCAUUAGCUAGUUGGUAAGGUAACGGCUUACCAAGGCAACGAUGCAUAGCCGACCUGAGAGGGUGAUCGGCCACACUGGAACUGAGACACGGUCCAGACUCCUACGGGAGGCAGCAGUAGGGAAUCUUCCGCAAUGGGCGAAAGCCUGACGGAGCAACGCCGCGUGAGUGAUGAAGGUCUUCGGAUCGUAAAACUCUGUUAUUAGGGAAGAACAUAUGUGUAAGUAACUGUGCACAUCUUGACGGUACCUAAUCAGAAAGCCACGGCUAACUACGUGCCAGCAGCCGCGGUAAUACGUAGGUGGCAAGCGUUAUCCGGAAUUAUUGGGCGUAAAGCGCGCGUAGGCGGUUUUUUAAGUCUGAUGUGAAAGCCCACGGCUCAACCGUGGAGGGUCAUUGGAAACUGGAAAACUUGAGUGCAGAAGAGGAAAGUGGAAUUCCAUGUGUAGCGGUGAAAUGCGCAGAGAUAUGGAGGAACACCAGUGGCGAAGGCGACUUUCUGGUCUGUAACUGACGCUGAUGUGCGAAAGCGUGGGGAUCAAACAGGAUUAGAUACCCUGGUAGUCCACGCCGUAAACGAUGAGUGCUAAGUGUUAGGGGGUUUCCGCCCCUUAGUGCUGCAGCUAACGCAUUAAGCACUCCGCCUGGGGAGUACGACCGCAAGGUUGAAACUCAAAGGAAUUGACGGGGACCCGCACAAGCGGUGGAGCAUGUGGUUUAAUUCGAAGCAACGCGAAGAACCUUACCAAAUCUUGACAUCCUUUGACAACUCUAGAGAUAGAGCCUUCCCCUUCGGGGGACAAAGUGACAGGUGGUGCAUGGUUGUCGUCAGCUCGUGUCGUGAGAUGUUGGGUUAAGUCCCGCAACGAGCGCAACCCUUAAGCUUAGUUGCCAUCAUUAAGUUGGGCACUCUAAGUUGACUGCCGGUGACAAACCGGAGGAAGGUGGGGAUGACGUCAAAUCAUCAUGCCCCUUAUGAUUUGGGCUACACACGUGCUACAAUGGACAAUACAAAGGGUAGCGAAACCGCGAGGUCAAGCAAAUCCCAUAAAGUUGUUCUCAGUUCGGAUUGUAGUCUGCAACUCGACUACAUGAAGCUGGAAUCGCUAGUAAUCGUAGAUCAGCAUGCUACGGUGAAUACGUUCCCGGGUCUUGUACACACCGCCCGUCACACCACGAGAGUUUGUAACACCCGAAGCCGGUGGAGUAACCUUUUAGGAGCUAGCCGUCGAAGGUGGGACAAAUGAUUGGGGUGAAGUCGUAACAAGGUAGCCGUAUCGGAAGGUGCGGCUGGAUCACCUCCUUU